GCUGAGACUACUCUGUGGGCUACUUGAAGUCAUGAAGCCUUUUUUGGCAGCAUUGAAAAAUGUUGGAAUUUUCGUGGCUCCUGCCGUGACGAAUGCCUGAAGAACGAAAAGGUCUAUGUUUUCUGCAUGAGUGGUAAAUUGUGCUGUUUGAAGCCCAAGGACCAACCACAUUUACCACAGCAUACAAAGAAUUAGUGCUUUAAAGUCUGAGGCCACAAAAAUGAAGAUAAACUUGCCCUGACUCUGAUGUCAGUAGAUUCCUGAGCUUUAUUAAAACAUCUUUGGC
Long non-coding RNA from Mandrillus leucophaeus (drill), 286 nucleotides. RefSeq lists it as uncharacterized. The record is from RefSeq and is a predicted model, not a curated record. NCBI's taxonomy places the organism in Eukaryota, Metazoa, Chordata, Mammalia, Primates, Cercopithecidae. The transcript is spliced from 2 exons.